This is a long non-coding RNA of Lepidothrix coronata (blue-crowned manakin), 237 nucleotides long. RefSeq lists it as uncharacterized. The transcript has 3 exons. The record is from RefSeq and is a predicted model, not a curated record. NCBI's taxonomy places the organism in Eukaryota, Metazoa, Chordata, Aves, Passeriformes, Pipridae.
ACCAAGCUGACAGUCACAUAAAUUCCCUGACAUACUGCCCAACUUAUUUAUGUUUCCUUCACUAAAAACUUAGGAAAAAAUGACCUUCUAUAGUAAGGACACUAGAAUAGGUUGCCAAGAGGAACACUGUGGAACUACAUUCUCAGAGAAAUUCAGAACCUGACUGUACAUGGCCCUGAGCAUCCUGAUCUGGCUGAGUCCGCUCUGAGCAGGAGCAUGAAGCAAGCACACAAGAGA